This 1113-nucleotide long non-coding RNA is filed under the name Taeniopygia guttata (zebra finch). RNAcentral describes it as "lncRNA (ENSTGUG00000022306.1)". Lineage: Eukaryota; Metazoa; Chordata; Aves; Passeriformes; Estrildidae. The record is from RNAcentral.
UGUUGAUGCCCUCAUCGUGUCUCCUGGAUUAAAUCAUUGUUUUCUUUCAUUUUGGAGAGGGAAAAAGACAGUGGGAAUCAUGAAGGCAAAGAAUAAUGGUAGUUAAACAUAUAAAAGUGUUAAAGUGCUCGAUAAUGUUUCUAAGUGCUCAGUGAACAUAUUUCCUAUCUAAUAAAUGUAUGACUAAUAAUAAUAUUCAGACAGCCAUAACUCCUUCCAGCAAAGGCUUUGAAUGCAAAACAGAUCAGAAUGCUCCUGGACAGGGAAGAGUAAUUGGUUCUUAUUGUAGUCAUCAGGGUGAGUUCUCAGCUCUCUUAGCUGUCAUUCCAGAUGGGAAAGUGGGACAACAGGAUAUGAUGAUACUGUUACCACAGCAAAGACUUAUCUGUGCUUGCUUUCACAGCCCUCCAAAGCAACCCCGUCCUUUAUUUUCUGCACUGACUCAGCUUGGUGGCUGUUAGGAAAUCACAAAGAUCCCUGCAACGGGAAUUGUCACCAAAAGUCAAAGAUACCUAGAUAUGUAUCCCAAACAAAACAUUUCAAGAGACGAAUGGCUCUAGAAACUCGAGGGCAGCUUCGGAUGGAGAAACGUCGCAAGCGAGGAAACAGAAGGCAGAGGGAAAAGUCAGAAACCCUCGUCUGGUUUCUGCCGGGUUUGAACACUAUUUGCUUUGGCUUCCAGACGCAGCAAUUUAGCAACAGGAAAUGUCAGCUCAUUAGAACCAUCGCAUGGCAUGGCACGAUGAUAGCGGCGGCUCCGCUGGCCGGGCUCCAGCCGUCGCACUCCGCAGGGAAACUGCACGGUUUGAUGGGAAGGGCUCGGUUUCCCUCUCAAGGCAGGACAGUUUAGUGGGCUAGUUGACUUGGCAGGCUGUUAACAGAAUUAAUUUGAUUGCCUUGGCAGUGGUAGGAGGAUGCAUGAAGGAAACCUUCUGGCUCUGUUGCCAGCGUAUAAUACCAAAUGAUUAUCAUACGCCAUUGAACUGGUGCUGGAUGAAGCAUGCGUGAGGGCUUGCAACAACUUUACCAAAAAUAGUAAGUGCCAUUUGAAGUUGGCAAACCCGUGCUCGAGAGAAAACAAUCUUUCCAGUUAAAGCCAGUCAGAACUUCACC